UCAUGUUUUUCUUUGAAUAAGCCCCAAACAAUUAAUUAAAUCGGCCCAAACAAUUUAAUUAAAUCGGCCCAAGAGUUUAAUUAAAUCGGCCCAAGAAGGAGCCCAAUAUUUUCGGCCCAAACCCGGCUCAAACCCGGCCCAAACCCGGCUGAAACCCGGCCCAAACCCGGCUCAAAUCCUAACCUAAAUAUACACACACACUAAAUACACUCAAACACACACAUAACACCAAAGCUGCGCCUCUUCUUUCUUCUUUCUCACUCUCUCUCUCGGACCUCUCUCUCUCCCGACUCUCUCUCUGUUUUCUGCCGCCACCGCUGCCGUUCAACGGCGCCGUCGCCGCCGGCGAGCGGCGCGGCCUCUCCUUCUCUCUCCCCGAACUCUUCCCCCCCUCUUCUCCUCUAUCUCUCUCUCUGUCUCGGCCGCUGGAAAGGCACAGCAGCGCCACCACGCCGCCGCUCCGUCGCCUCCGCCUCUCCUCCAUGGCAGAUCCGCCGUCGCUGCAACUGGAUCUCGGCGAGCACCGUCGACUGGAAGCCGCUGGAGCUGCUGUUGCUUCUCGCCCGGAGUCGCCGCUGAAAGUCAGCCGCACGCCGCCGCCUUGGGUGUUCACGGCCAUCGCCUGGCCGUGGAAGAGCACGGCCGCCGCCGUUCGUCGUCGGAUUCGCUGUGAGGAGCCGAGCACCGUCUCACAAAGAUCGGAGACAACGGCAGGUUCACCGCCGCCGCUCCGUCGCCGGCGACGAGCCACCGCGGCUGCCGCCUCCCUCUGAUUUCGACUCACACACACAGUAGGUUCAAGCCACAAUUUCAGUCAUAGCAUAGAUGAUUUGAGCAAAAUUCAUACAUAGUCAGGAAAUAAUUAUCUCUAUAUGUCCAUGUAAAAAGUCAAGAUCUUUAAUUGUUCUUCAAUUAAUCACACUGCAUAUAAACACCUCACUUGCAAAUUCAGCCUUUCGAACAUCAAUGUUAAAACGAGUUUAUACACAAGUUGUAUGCACAUAAAGAGGAAUAUGAGCAGUUGUAUGCGUUGGUGGUUCUUUUGGAG
This is a long non-coding RNA of Salvia miltiorrhiza (redroot sage), 1048 nucleotides long. RefSeq lists it as uncharacterized. The transcript is spliced from 2 exons. The record is from RefSeq and is a predicted model, not a curated record. Lineage: Eukaryota; Viridiplantae; Streptophyta; Magnoliopsida; Lamiales; Lamiaceae.